AUGGCUCAGGAUGAACGCUAGCUACAGGCUUAACACAUGCAAGUCGAGGGGCAUCAUGGAGUUGCUUGCAAACUCUGAUGGCGACCGGCGCACGGGUGAGUAACGCGUAUCCAACCUCCCUAUAGUAGAGGAUAGCCCGGCGAAAGUCGGAUUAAUACUCUAUGUUUUCCGUUGCAGACAUCUAAGAUGGAACAAAGGCUUGCCGCUAUAGGAUGGGGAUGCGUCUGAUUAGGUAGUCGGCGGGGUAACGGCCCACCGAGCCAUCGAUCAGUAGGGUUCUGAGAGGAAGGUCCCCCACAUUGGAACUGAGACACGGUCCAAACUCCUACGGGAGGCAGCAGUGAGGAAUAUUGGUCAAUGGGCGAGAGCCUGAACCAGCCAAGUAGCGUGCAGGACGACGGCCCUAUGGGUUGUAAACUGCUUUUAUGCGGGGAUAAAGUUCACUACGUGUAGUGUUUUGUAGGUACCGCAUGAAUAAGGACCGGCUAAUUCCGUGCCAGCAGCCGC
RNAcentral lists this ribosomal RNA (507 nucleotides) under uncultured bacterium. Its description in RNAcentral is "bacterial SSU rRNA". It matches the Rfam family "Bacterial small subunit ribosomal RNA", at positions 19 to 518 of the family's 1533-position model. The record is from RNAcentral.